ACUCCUACGGGAGGCAGCAGUGGGAAUAUUGCACAAUGGGAAGCCAUCGAUGCAGCCAUGCCGCGCUGUGUGAAGAAGGCCAAUUCGGGCUUUGGUUAAAGACACUUUUCAGCGAGGAGGAAAGGGUGUGUGUUAAUACCAUACAUCUGUGACGUUACUCGCAGAAGAAGCACCGGCUAACUCCGUGCCAGCAGCCGCGGUAAUACGGAGGGUGCGAGCGUUAAUCGGAAUUACUGGGCGUAAAGCGUGCGCAGGCGGUUUGUUAAGCGAGAUGUGAAAG
Molecule: ribosomal RNA, 280 nt
Filed under: uncultured bacterium
Lineage: Bacteria
Description: partial 16S ribosomal RNA
Rfam family: Bacterial small subunit ribosomal RNA
Source: RNAcentral